This 1046-nucleotide long non-coding RNA is filed under the name Piliocolobus tephrosceles (Ugandan red Colobus). RNAcentral's name for it is "lncRNA (ENSPTEG00000018608.1)". Lineage: Eukaryota; Metazoa; Chordata; Mammalia; Primates; Cercopithecidae. The record is from RNAcentral.
ACAAUAAUAAUAAUAUUGAAUAUAAAGGUGUAAAUAAUAUGUUAUCAAAUUAUAAUAAUAAUUCAGUAUUGUUCGAUGAUAGUAGUAAUGUUGGGGGGAUGUAUAACAAUAUGGACGAUAAACAUAGUCAAAACCAAUCAGAUAAUAGUAAACAAAAUAGUAUGACUGAUAUUGCUAUGAAUUUUAAAAACACUUCAGGAUAUAUUAACUCUAAUAGUAAUGAGAAUAAAUUAAUUACCAACAAUCCUAAUGUGUGUGGUGUUGUUAAUGGAGACAACCACGAUUUGAUGAUUGAUAGUAUAGAUGAUAGCAUUAUUAAUGAUAUAACAGGUAAUAUGACAUCUUUUGUGAAUGGCAAUAUGAAACCUAACGUAAAUGAUAAUAUAAAUUAUAAUAUCGACUACAGUAACAUAUCAAAUAACAGAACCAAUAAUUAUAAGAAGCAAGAUCACUGUGGUACUUCUAAAAAAUAUUUUGAAAAGAAUCAAUACAAUUCUACUAAGAAUUACGAUUCAUAUGAUAAUAAUGAUAAUACUAGUUUAAAUAAUAAAGAUAAUAAUAAAUAUAAUUUUAAUAAUAUGCGAUCUAAUAUAAAAAUAGAUAAAGGAAAUUAUAAUGAGGCGUUCAAUAGUAAAAAUGGUUCACAUCAUGGGGCUGUAAAUUAUAUAGAAAGUAAUGAACAAAAAUAUAAUAACAUUGUAUCAUCAUUAAAUGUGAAUAAUUUAAUUGAAUCAAAUAUUAUUGAUACAAAAAAGAAUUGUGAUUAUAUAUCUGAUCAACGAAAUAACAAAUACGGCAUUGAUAAUAGGAAUAAUAAUAUGCUUGGUAAAUAUGAACAUAAUGAUGCAGAUAUACCAGAAUAUGACACGUUUGGAAAUAAUGAAAAUAAUAAUAGAGACAUGGUUAAUAUUAAUAAUAUAAAUAAAAACAUUAAUUAUAUUAAUAACGAUGUAGAUAACAUAAAUAAUAAUAUAAAUAAUAUAAAUAAUAAUAUACAUAAAAUUAAUUCAAAUGUGGGUGUUAGUAAUCAUUUUAAUAAAAACAUA